GACGUAGGGCGCGAGCGUUGUCCGGAUUUAUUGGGCGUAAAGAGCUCGUAGGCGGCUUGUCGCGUCGACUGUGAAAUCCCGCGGCUCAACUGCGGGUCUGCAGCCGAUACGGGCAGGCUAGAGUUCGGUAGGGGAGACUGGAAUUCCUGGUGUAGCGGUGAAAUGCGCAGAUAUCAGGAGGAACACCGAUGGCGAAGGCAGGUCUCUGGGCCGAUACUGACGCUGAGGAGCGAAAGUGUGGGGAGCGAACAGG
This 253-nucleotide ribosomal RNA is filed under the name uncultured bacterium. RNAcentral describes it as "partial 16S ribosomal RNA". It matches the Rfam family "Bacterial small subunit ribosomal RNA", at positions 524 to 776 of the family's 1533-position model. The record is from RNAcentral.